Molecule: small nuclear RNA, 109 nt
Organism: Otolemur garnettii (small-eared galago)
Lineage: Eukaryota; Metazoa; Chordata; Mammalia; Primates; Galagidae
Source: Ensembl
GUGCUCGCUUCAGCAGCACAUAUACUAAAAAAUUGGAACAAUACAGAGAAGAUUAGCAUAGCCCCUGCGCAAGGAUGACAUGGAAAUUCGUGAAGUGUUCCAUAUUUUU